CGCUCGGGGUAAACAAACAAAAUGGCGGAGUGUCUUGUAUAAUGUUUUGGUUUUAGUAGUCUCUCGUACUCCAUUUUUUCACGUUUUUGCUUUUUUUUAAUCAAAUGGUAAAUGUUAACUGUUAUGUUUCUGGUUGCGUGUCCAAUAACCGUUCGUAUCAGUAUUUAAAGUUUUACAAACUACCCAAAGACAAGGCAAGAAGACGAAGGUGGAAAAAGUUGACACGAAAUACGCGAGAAACAGAUUCACAAUGGACCUGUCUGUGUCGACUCCACUUCCAAGGUGGCUGGAAAAAAGAAUUUUAUUCUGAUCCUUCAAUAUUUCCUUGGAGUCCAGAAUGGCCUGAUGUUGUGACAAGAUACAACAACUACGUAACGGAACGUUUUUCGCUGGCCCAAGGUACAGACCAUGGAUAUGCCAAAGCUCCAAAGCUGAUGAAAGUUCCAGCAAUUUUCAAGAAGUUUGUCCGUCAUUCCAACACCUCUAAACGUGCCUUAAAAAGUCUCGAGAAAAGUGAAGAAACGUCUACCCUCCCCAACACAGAUCAGGAAUCAGAUCANACACAUUGCCCAGAUCUAGAAGAAACUCCGAUUGCCUUAUCCAAGAAUGGCGAAGUUGACUUAAGAGAUGUAACGUUUAAAGACACGUCCACAACGAUGAAGGUUGCAUAUUAUCCUGAUACCUACUUACUCACUAGGAAUGAGUUGCAAUCCUUGCUGUCCUGUAUUGAAGAAAAACUAGAUAAAGGAAGUNCAGAUGCUUCACAGCUACUAGCCCUUCUAAAGGUUGUCAUCAAGUUAUUAAGAAAUGUCCAAGAGCAGUUAGAUGCAGUGAUGGAAUUGCGGGAAUGGGAUAAGUUUCUACUCAGGCGCUUUGAGGGUUCUGAUGAGGAUAUUAAGUUUUGGACAGGAUUCCCAAGUUUUUCCAGCCUAAUUUACUUCUUUAAUGGUUUCAUACUCCCUAAUGAGUCCCAUAUGAAGUACUGGGGUGCAAAUAAUACUGGUUUGAAAAGGGAAUUCAAGGCAGGCACAGUUCGACAGCUUUCUGCUGUAGAUGAAUUAUUUCUCACACUCAUCAAGUUGAAGCGAGCUAGUGCAAAUGAAGACCUGGCAGAAAGAUAGACAUGUUUCAAGUAGACAUGUUUCAUCCAUUGUCAUAACAUGGGUUAACCUUAUGGCAGCUGUUUUCCGGAAAACAGACACUUGGCUUAGUAGGAAAAAAGAGUGACAACAUUUGUAUCUCCCUUGAUGGAAGGAAGUGUCAGUGACAAUGACAUAACUGUUCAAAGUGGUUUGCUUGCCAAACUUCAGAAAGGGGAUGCAAUCAUGGCAGACAGAGGCUGGACAAACAAGUCAACACUUCUCAAGCAUGGGAUUA
RNAcentral lists this unclassified non-coding RNA (1377 nucleotides) under Actinia tenebrosa (Australian red waratah sea anemone). Its description in RNAcentral is "uncharacterized LOC116306917, transcript variant X1". Lineage: Eukaryota; Metazoa; Cnidaria; Anthozoa; Actiniaria; Actiniidae. The record is from RNAcentral.